UACGAAGGAUGCAAGCGUUAUCCGGAUUCACUGGGUUUAAAGGGUGUGCAGGUGGGGUAAUGAGUCAGUGGUGAAAGCCCCCGACUCAAUCGGGGAACGUGCCAUAGAUACUGUUAUUCUUGAGUGUGGUUGAGGUGGGCGGAAUAUGACAUGUAGCGGUGAAAUGCGUAGAUAUGUCAUAGAACACCGAUCGCGAAGGCAGCUCGCCAAACCAUUACUGACACUGAAACACGAAAGUGCGGGGAUCAAACAGGAUUAGAUA
This 262-nucleotide ribosomal RNA is filed under the name uncultured bacterium. Its description in RNAcentral is "partial 16S ribosomal RNA". It matches the Rfam family "Bacterial small subunit ribosomal RNA", at positions 524 to 784 of the family's 1533-position model. The record is from RNAcentral.